This is a non-coding RNA of Pelobates cultripes (western spadefoot toad), 657 nucleotides long. NCBI's taxonomy places the organism in Eukaryota, Metazoa, Chordata, Amphibia, Anura, Pelobatidae. The record is from the annotation of a GenBank genome assembly.
GUACACUGCCAUGGAAUAUGAGAGAGUUGCAAUUUUUAUUUUAUUUUAAUAAACAUGCUGAGUAGUCUAACUUAAUGAAGAGCAAGACUAAGUAGCAGUUCAUUCUGACAGCAUGAGUAAUCUGUAAAGCACUUCACAACUAACUAGUGUUAGGUAGAUGUUAAUGUAACAUGCUUGCUAUGUUUUAAAAAAAAAAAAAAAAAGAAUAAAAUAAGAGAUUAUUCACAACUAGUAAACUCGAUCGUAGUGAAAUAAAGAGUAGGCCUUGAAUGUCAGACUAGGCAAAAUAUUAGUAGUGAUAGAUUGUGUCUGUGACACAGGACGGGUAAGUGUCGGUUGUCGCUCUGCAAGACAAUCCCAAAAGGCCUGGCAGAUUGCCUCAUAUCUUGCUUUGAAGGCUUCUCUCCAAUUCUGGCCUGUCUGGCUCGUAUGGUUUUGCUGAGGUUUCAGUGCGACGGUCAUCUUGGACGAGCCGCGUGGAUUGCAAGGUUCCUCCAUCCACUCCUCUUGAAAAAGGCUUUAGCAGACCCAGUGAGGACCGGGAUAUCCGGGGGCUCCAAGUGCUGUUUGCCCACUGGUAGGAGAUCGGCCGCGUCUCCCCACCAUUGGCGCGCCAGAUGCGCUUUGUGGCCUCAGAUGUGGACCCGGGUGAUGUCC